Molecule: small nucleolar RNA, 107 nt
Organism: Rattus norvegicus (Norway rat)
Lineage: Eukaryota; Metazoa; Chordata; Mammalia; Rodentia; Muridae
Product: small nucleolar RNA SNORA17
Source: Ensembl
CCUGCCUAUAGAAGCAUUGAAAGUGACAGGUGGCAGAGAGGAGCAAGGCUAUGUCUAUGUUCAGUGUUCUAACCUGUGAACAUCUGAGUGAUUAGCAGCCAAACACU